GGGCUCAGUUAACCAUUAAACAUCGAAUUCAACACCAAAAACGGGAGGAGGGCCAACCUCCGGGUUGCUUGUAUUCCUAUGGUUGCUAUUGCUCUUUUGCUUGUUGUUUCUUCCACACACUUAGGAUGGAUACCACAUAGGUAAGAGUCACAAAGCCUCAAGCAAUAUGUAGAGAUCAAUCAACAGGAUGCACAAAGAAAGAAGAAGGAAAACUGCCUCUCUCUCUCGGGUUCUCUCACGCACGACUUCAACAUGUGAAAGGGAGUUACCAAUUUAUAAUAGUCCAAUGGCCAACUUAAGGUAAGUCACAAUAUGGUAAAUAGGCUCGACUAGGGUUAAGUCCCAAUAGCACACCAACAAGCCGCAAAGAUUAUUAGCCCUCCAAUAGGUAAAGCAACGCCAUUAUUCGGUGUUGAUUUAUCGUUCAGUCAUUCAUGUCGACUGAUAAAACUGGUUUUCAUCAUCGUUCGGGAGGUCGCUUGACAACAUGAUGUCUAACAACCUCCACCUUGGUGUCAAAGGACCUGCAAAGAAAAACGUUUUCCAUUAGUGACACCUCUAACAGAAAAUCGAUAAAAUUGGAAAUCAUUUACCUAUACCGAUGUUUAGAAGCUCCUUGCAGCUUCUAAACUUUACCAGUGGCAGCACUUUCAUGCCCAUAUCUAAAGGAUUAUAUUGUGUGUGAAUUUUUUCAAGUCUUACUACUUCUUGUGAUAUUAUAUCCCUAAUGAAGUGUAACCUAACAUCGAUAUGUUUAGUGCGUUCGUGAAAAAUAGGAUUCUUACACAGAUGUAUGGAUGACUGACUAUCAGAAUACACAACCACAUACUCAUUCAAGACACUCAGUUCAUGAAGUAGACCUCUAAGCCAUAGAGCCUCUUUAAUUGCUUCAGCGAUGGCAAUAUAUUCUGACUCUGUAGUGGAUAGUGCAACUAUGUGUUGUAACUGUGAUUUCCAACUAACACACAAAUUUGAUAAGGUGAAUACGUAAGAGGAAGUUGAUUUCCUACCAUCCCUAUCUCCUGCAUAAUCAGCAUCUACAAAACCCUUUAAUUUCACACCUUCCUUAUUAGCACUAAAUUUUAGACCUACGUCACUUGUGCCCUUCAAAUAUCUUAAAACCCAUUUUAAUGCUUCCCAAUGUUCAGGACCUGGAUUAGACAUGUACCUACUGAGAGUACUAACAGCGAAUCCUAAGUCCGGUCUAGUGCAAACCAUCAAAUACAUUAUGGAAUCAAUCACAUUUGAGUAUGGAAUUUUACUCAUGUAUUCCACUUCACGUUCAUUGCAGGGAGCUUGUUCUUUAGAUAGAACAAAAUGGUUUGCAAGAGGCAAUGUGACAGAUUUGCAAUCACUCAUAUUAAACCUUUUCAACACCUUUGAUAUGUAUGGAGACUGAUGCAAGAAUACGAUGGAAUUUGACAUAUUUCAUUCUAUUUCCAUGCCUAGAAUCCUUUUAGCCUUUCCUAGGUCUUUCAUGUCAAAUUCUCCACUAAGAUCUACUUUUAUAUUGUUUAUCCACUUAGGAGAUGAUCCAACUAAAAGCAUGUCGUCCACAUAGAGCAACAAGAACAAAUAAUUGUUAUCAGUCUCGUUGUGUUGAAAGUAUAGGCAGUGAUCGAAUUUACUUCUUUGAAAUCCUAUAGUGAGUACAAAGGAAUCAAAACCUCUUGUACCACUGUCUAGGUGAUUGCUUUAGACCGUAUAGGGAUCUUUUCAGAAAACACACAUAAUCAGGUUUUAACUUGUCUUUAAAACCUUUUGGUUGAUUCAUAAAGAUUUGUUCAUCAAGCUCUCCAUAUAAAAAAGCGAUUUUUACAUCGAGUUGUUCAAGUUCCCAGUCAAAGAGCGCAACCAAUGUGAGCAUGACCCUAAUAGUAGUGUACUUGACAACUGGUGAGAAAAUCUCGUUAUAAUCAACACCUUCUUUCUGUGUGUAACCCUUCGCUACUAACCUAGCCUUAAAUCUUAGGGGUUCUGUACUACUAGUACCUUCCUUAACCUUAAAGACCCACUUGCAAUCAACGAUUGGUUUAUUCUUAGGUCUCGAUACUAACUCCCAAGUUUGGUUCUUUUCUAGAAAACUCAUCUCUUCUUUCAUAGCAUUAAGCCACUCCUUAGAUUGACCAUUAUUCAUAGCAUCUUCAAAAGUUUUUGGCUCCCUAUCAACUAGUUCUUCGUAACUAGCGUAUGCAAAAUCCAAUUCAGAUUCAUACCCGAACCUUCUAGGUUAUCUCGUUUGUCUUCUCUCUCUAUCUCUAACUAAAUUAUAGUUAGCUAAUGGAUUUUCUUCCUCAGGAUGCUCUUCUAUCAUUACUUCAUUUUCCUCUUCAGGUUCUUGGACCUGAAUCUCCACCUCACUCGAAGUACUAGGUACUGAUGUGUUAAAUUUUUCUAACUCCACCUUGAACUGAUUUCUUUCUUCACCGGAUUCAGUUUCAUUUACAGGUUCGGUUUCGUUCCUUAGACAAGGCAUCUCACUCUCAUUAAAUGUGACAUCCCUACUCACGAUGAUCUUAACUCUUUUUUGGCUUCUAUCCCAUAGCCUAUAUCCCUUAACCCCUUCGGGAUACCCUAAAAAAACACACUUCCUGGCUCUAGGUUCUAAUUUUCCCUCACUUUGAUGAGAGAAGGCAACACNNNNNNNNNNNNNNNNNNNNNNNNNNNNNNNNNNNNNNNNNNNNNNNNNNNNNNNNNNNNNNNNNNNNNNNNNNNNNNNNNNNNNNNNNNNNNGUGGAGUAUCACCAUUUAAUGCAGCCGAUGGAGUCAAAUUUAUCAGAUAACAGGCAGUUACAACGGCUUCACCCCCAAAUGACUUAGGAACCCCAGAACUUAACAUCAUGCAGCGCACUUUAUCUAGUAUGGUCCUAUUCAUUCUUUCUGCUACCCCGUNCACAUAUACUUCACCGUUUUCGGUAUUGGAGGUAGAGGAUAACACAUUUACCUCAUCUCUUUCCUUAACCUUUUGUUUUCCCUCUUCUUUAUGACAGUCUUUUAUAAAAUGCCCUGUGCCUUCACAGCCAUAGCAUUUUCUAGUCUUAGUUCUAGACUUUGACCUAGGUCUACCAUUUCCCUUCUUUUUCCAACUAUUACUACUUGAUUCGCCACUACUUUGGUAUCCAUCAUGACUGGCUUGCCUAAAUUGAGUUCUACCCCCGCAUCAUAUGCAACUCUCCACUCCUCCUAUCCUUUUUUCAGCCCUCAUUUCCAUCUCCUUACUCCUAAGAGAAUCUACGACAAUUUCAGGUGUUAACGUGUCCCUACCAUACUUAAUGGCAUUUUUAACUUCUUUAUAAGAGUCCGGGAUUGAAUUGAGCAAGAUAAUGGCCUUAUAGGUUUUAGACACGGCCUCGUCACAAUUGACAAUAUCUUGCAUCAAUUUGUUAAAUACAUCGAAAUUGUCGUUGAGAUCCUUUGAAGGAUCCAUUUUAAAGCUGAAGAAUCGUUCGAGUAGGUAAAGUUUAUUCGGUGUAGAUUUAAGCAAGUAUAAGUCUUCUAGUCUUUUCCAAAGUUCUUUGGUGGUUUUUAGUUUUCCCACUUUUCUUAAGACAGCAUCAGACAAGUGUAAUAUUAGUGAGGUAUAGGCAAGCUCAUCGGCUUCCUCUUUUUGUUCUUUUGAGAUGUCAGGUGCAAAAUUGCCUUCAUGGCUUUUGCUUUUGUUGGACUAAUAUGCCUCUCAUCUUUUGUUACCAGAUAGAGAAGUCCCCUUUACCGUUAAAUAUUCCCAAAUCAAAAUUAUGCGUUGUCAUUGGUUAACACACUAAUUAAACCACACGAAGUAGUAUUGGGAAGCGUGAUAAGGUAAUAUCUUGUUAAUUCUUAGCAAAAAUAACAAUGAACCUAAACGCUACGUCCACCAAGAAAUACCAAGCACUUUAAAUCAAAAGAACAAGCACUCAAUUAACGCAAGUAAUCCCAAUUCUAGCACAAGCAAUGGUUACCCCUUCACAGUAACCCCAAAACCUAACGAUCACCCCACACGAUGAUCUUGCUAUUGCUGAAUUUAAAUGGAUUAAGCCAAUUUAGCAUAGCGGACCUAUCUGAGUCCGUAGAGUGGAGAAAAAUGAGCUUGCUGUUCAAUUUCAGUCAGCGUCGCACCAGGGGCAAAAUCGUCCAACUUUUUCUGUGUAACCUGAAACACAAAACAAAGUAUAUCAGUGCGUUCAAGGGAUUGAAACAAGCAAGUUACCUGAAGACAGCUUCGCUGGACUGCCGCCCACGCGCCGCCGCCGUCGCCUCCACCUGCUGGUAAUGGGUGUGGCCUCCAUUUGUCCAACCGAGCUUUGGUUUGUGAGUAAUUGAAUAAUUUCAGAUUCGGUUUCUAUGUUGAAUGUCCGAAAAUCAGCCGAUUUUGAGCCCUUUUUUGCUACCCAAGCUCUGAUACCAGAUGUUAGGAUCUUCCUCAAGCUGCUCAAAGUGAUUUCCGGGCUCAGUUAACCAUUAAACAUCGAAUUUAACACCAAAAACGAGAGGAGGGCCGACCGCCGGGUUGCUUGUAUUCCUAUGGUUGCUAUUGCUCUUUUGCUUGUUGUUUCUUCCACACACUUAGGAUGGAUACCACACAGGUAAGAGUCACAAAGCCUCAAGCAAUAGGUAGAGAUCAAUCAACAGGAUGCACAAAGAAAGAAGAAGGAAAACUGCCUCUCUCUCUCGGGUUCUCUCACGCACGGCUUCAACAUAUGAAAGGGAGUUACCAAUUUAUAAUAGUCCAAUGGCCAACUUAAAGUAAGUCACAAUAUGGUAAGUAGGCUCGACUAGGGUUAAGUCCCAAUAGCACACCAACGAGCCACAAAGAUUAUUAGCCCUCCAAUAGGUAAAGCAACGUUAGGUCGGGUCAUCCCAUUAUUCGGUGUUGAUUUAUCGUUUAGUCAUUUAUGUCGACUGAUAAAACUGGUUUUCAUCAUCGCCCGGGAGGUCGUUUGACAACAUGAUGUCUAACAAAUGAUUUCAUCGGAGAUCGAACUAAAUCAUCUAUUUUUCAC
RNAcentral lists this long non-coding RNA (4982 nucleotides) under Olea europaea (common olive). RNAcentral's name for it is "long non-coding RNA (OEUR_LNC012676)". Lineage: Eukaryota; Viridiplantae; Streptophyta; Magnoliopsida; Lamiales; Oleaceae. The record is from RNAcentral.